This 479-nucleotide ribosomal RNA is filed under the name uncultured bacterium. RNAcentral describes it as "partial 16S ribosomal RNA". It matches the Rfam family "Bacterial small subunit ribosomal RNA", at positions 28 to 507 of the family's 1533-position model. The record is from RNAcentral.
GAUGAACGCUGGCGGCGUGCUUAACACAUGCAAGUCGAGCGAGAAGUUUUGAAAAGAUUCUUCGGAUGAAAUUUAAAAUGGAAAGCGGCGGACGGGUGAGUAACGCGUAGGCAACCUGCCCCAUACAAAGGGAUAGCAUUUGGAAACGAAUAUUAAUACCUUAUGAAACUUAACUAGUGCAUGCUAGGUAGGUCAAAGAUUUAUCGGUAUGGGAUGGGCCUGCGUCUGAUUAGCUAGUUGGUGAGGUAACGGCUCACCAAGGCGACGAUCAGUAGCCGACAUGAGAGGGUGAACGGCCACAUUGGAACUGAGACACGGUCCAAACUCCUACGGGAGGCAGCAGUGGGGAAUAUUGCACAAUGGGGGAAACCCUGAUGCAGCAACGCCGCGUGAACGAUGAAGGCCUUUGGGGCGUAAAGUUCUGUUCUAGGUGAUGAAAACUGACAGUAACCUAGGAGAAAGCCCCGGCUAACUCCGUG